This 512-nucleotide ribosomal RNA is filed under the name Panorpa communis. Its description in RNAcentral is "partial 16S ribosomal RNA". Lineage: Eukaryota; Metazoa; Arthropoda; Insecta; Mecoptera; Panorpidae. The record is from RNAcentral.
AUGUAAGGAUUCAAAGGUCGAACAGACCUAAACUUUGAACUUCUACACCCAAAAAUAACCCUUAAUCCAACAUCGAGGUCGCAAUCUUUUUUGUCGAUAUGAACUCUCAAAAAAAAUUACGCUGUUAUCCCUAAGGUAACUUAGUCUUAUAAUCAAUAAUAUUGGAUCAAUAAUUCAAUAAUUUUUGUAAAAUAAAAAAAAAGAGUUUUAUAAAUCUUCCUGUCACCCCAACAAAAUAUUUAAUUUAAUAAAAUUUAAAAAUUUCUAUAAAUAAAUUAUUAUACAAAUAUAAAGUUCUAUAGGGUCUUCUCGUCCUUUAAUUACAUUUAAGCCUUUUAACUUAAAAGUUAAAUUAUAAUUUCAUUUAAAUUGAGACAGUUAACACCUCGUUCAAUCAUUCAUUCUAGCCCUCAAUUAAAAGACUAAUUAUUAUGCUACCUUUGCACGGUCAAAAUACCGCGGCCCUUUAAAUCAUCAGUGGGCAGAUUAGACUUUAAAUUAUUUUCUAAAAG